CUGCUGCAGAUCCUGACAGCCCUGGCCUGUCUGUGUGGCGACCACCAGGCGACGGGUGGUGGUGAUGGAGCUUGGCGUAGCUGAGAGCAGCGGGGACGCUGCUUGGUCUGGACCUGAGAGCUAUUGACAUCUGGAAAAGGGAUUCAGAAGGGAGGGGUGUCAUUAUUUGGGCUGGAUGAAUUCUCAAAUCAUGG
Long non-coding RNA from Corapipo altera (White-ruffed manakin), 194 nucleotides. RefSeq lists it as uncharacterized. NCBI's taxonomy places the organism in Eukaryota, Metazoa, Chordata, Aves, Passeriformes, Pipridae. The transcript is spliced from 3 exons. The record is from RefSeq and is a predicted model, not a curated record.